GUGAUACACAGGCUGGGCUGCUACUCCCGUGACAAAAUUCCUGAUCUGCUAUUAGUUGGGCCUCGAGUCUUUCCUGUGUGACCAAUUCAUCCACGCGAUCUCUCUGCAUCCCCGCUCCACUUCGUGCCCUAGGCCUAAUCGCCGCACCGGCGAUGACGGUGAGUGAUGCUUUGGGUUGCUGCCACCAGCCCUACUGCUCCCGGUCCCUUUGGUUGUGUUCAUCAAGGUUCCAGUCAACUGAUUUGGGCAAAUCUUGGAGGUUGGUACUCAUCGAGCCGCCGAUCUUCAAUCUGAUCCAUUCAAGUCAGGCUUGACUGAUUGAUGCAGGGCGAAUCAAGGCGGGCCUGACUGAUUGAUGCAGGGCGAAGCAAGGCCGGGGUCAAUUUUUGUUGGUUCUAUCGGUAAUGGCCUCGCUCGACACUUCCUUGGCGUUGACACUUACAUGCGGUGGAUUUUCACGCCCCUACGCCCCUUCUUCACUGGACAAUAAUACAAAGGGUACUCCAAAUUUCCAUCUUUGCUCCUCCUCCAUGCUUUGUUCCCCCUUUUCGAGUGUUUGUAUUUUGCAACUUAAUUUCUUGUUUAUAUGGUUUAACAUGGAUUGAUUGGUCGAGGAGAGUACGGCAACAAGAUAUGGUGCUAGAGAUAUGGAUUUCCCAGGGAGUCAGCUCGAUGUAGUGUAGUAACCUCGGCUUACCUUAUCUUCGCGGCCUCUGAAUGCCGUUACAAUUUGAAAAUAAGGAUCCUUGAUUAUAUUGCUAUGUUUUGAUACACGGCUGUAUCUUCCGAAACUUGUGCUGGAUGCUUCGGGCGUUUGUGUUCCUCAAUGAGAAAUCGUUCCAUGCACCUGACAA
Molecule: long non-coding RNA, 854 nt
Organism: Triticum aestivum (bread wheat)
Lineage: Eukaryota; Viridiplantae; Streptophyta; Magnoliopsida; Poales; Poaceae
Exons: 2
Source: RefSeq, a predicted model, not a curated record